GGGUGCAGCAGAUGGAGCCGACCCUGUGGCACACACCUGCAGGUCCAGGUACACGUGGCUGACUGGCCGUGAUCCCAGGGACCCUCCUGCCUCUGCCUCUCCGGGGCUGGAACUACGUGGCUUUUGGGGAUUAAACUCAGAUCCUCAAGUCCGAUCUACAAUCUCGUGGCUGAAUGCAACAUCUUCUCCUGGUCCGGGAAAUGAAUCUUUGGAUUCAAUCUUUGAUUCCACUGUGUAUCUGGGUCACAUUUUCAUUAUCUGUUCAUCACCCGAUGAUCCUCUAGAAUGAGUCCAUUUCCAGCUGCUGGGAGCCAUGGAGCAGCAGUGAACAUGGACGUGCAAGUGUCGCUGUGGC
Microtus oregoni (creeping vole) is the source of this 355-nucleotide long non-coding RNA. RefSeq lists it as uncharacterized. NCBI's taxonomy places the organism in Eukaryota, Metazoa, Chordata, Mammalia, Rodentia, Cricetidae. The record is from RefSeq and is a predicted model, not a curated record. The transcript has 3 exons.